CGCCACGCGGCACUCUUCUUCACGCGUCAGCGUAUACCGAAGUCCCGCUGCACAAAAAAAACACGUCGUUAGUAAGAAUACAAGUUCAAGCAUGUAAGCACGCCAAACAUUUUCAGCGGACACCGGCCACCAACCUCGAAUAGGUUGGAACUCAGACUUAAUCCUAAAUGACGGCCCUUCUUCGUUAGACCUAGCGUGGUACUCCCAACCGUCGGUAGCGACG
RNAcentral lists this long non-coding RNA (223 nucleotides) under Rosa chinensis. RNAcentral describes it as "sRNA RchiOBHm_Chr2g0122011". The record is from RNAcentral. Lineage: Eukaryota; Viridiplantae; Streptophyta; Magnoliopsida; Rosales; Rosaceae.